GACGAACCGUGCGAACGUUGUUCGGAUUCACUGGGCUUAAAGGGCGCGUAGGCGGACGGUCAAGUCAGGGGUGAAAUCUUUCAGCUCAACUGGAAAAGUGCCUCUGAUACUGAUCGUCUCGAGGGAGGUAGGGGCAUGUGGAACUUCCGGUGGAGCGGUGAAAUGCGUAGAUAUCGGGAAGAACACCCGUGGCGAAGGCGGCUCUCUGGACCGAGACUGACGCUGAGGCGCGAAAGCGUGGGGAGCAAACAGG
Molecule: ribosomal RNA, 253 nt
Filed under: uncultured bacterium
Lineage: Bacteria
Description: partial 16S ribosomal RNA
Rfam family: Bacterial small subunit ribosomal RNA
Source: RNAcentral